This 468-nucleotide ribosomal RNA is filed under the name uncultured bacterium. RNAcentral's name for it is "partial 16S ribosomal RNA". It matches the Rfam family "Bacterial small subunit ribosomal RNA", at positions 28 to 507 of the family's 1533-position model. The record is from RNAcentral.
GACGAACGCUGGCGGCGUGCUUAACACAUGCAAGUCGAACGGAAAGGCCCUGCUUUUGUGGGGUGCUCGAGUGGCGAACGGGUGAGUAACACGUGAGUAACCUGCCCUUGACUUUGGGAUAACUUCAGGAAACUGGGGCUAAUACCGGAUAGGAGCUCCUGCUGCAUGGUGGGGGUUGGAAAGUUUCGGCGGUUGGGGAUGGACUCGCGGCUUAUCAGCUUGUUGGUGGGGUAGUGGCUUACCAAGGCUUUGACGGGUAGCCGGCCUGAGAGGGUGACCGGCCACACUGGGACUGAGAUGAGGCCCAGACUCCGACGGGAGGCAGCAGUGGGGAAUAUUGCACAAUGGGCGGAAGCCUGAUGCAGCAACGCCGCGUGCGGGAUAACGGCCUUCGGGUUGUAAACCGCUUUCGCCUGUGACGAAGCGUGAGUGACGGUAAUGGGUAAAGAAGCACCGGCUAACUACGUG